RNAcentral lists this ribosomal RNA (587 nucleotides) under uncultured archaeon. Its description in RNAcentral is "bacterial SSU rRNA". It matches the Rfam family "Archaeal small subunit ribosomal RNA", at positions 327 to 914 of the family's 1478-position model. The record is from RNAcentral.
GGGGCCCAGAGUCGGGAAACCUUUACACUGCACGAAGGUGCGAUAAGGGGACUCCGAGUGCGAGGGCAUACAGUCCUCGCUAUUGUGUACCGUAGGGUGGUACACGACCAAGAGCUGGGCAAGACCGGUGCCAGCCGCCGCGGUAAUACCGGCAGCUCGAGUGAUGGCCGAUUUUAUUGGGCCUAAAGCGUCCGUAGCUGGCCCUGCAAGUCCGUCGGGAAAUCCACUCGCCUAACGAGUGGGCGUCCGGCGGAAACUACAGGGCUUGGGACCGGAAGACUUGAGGGGUACGUCUGGGGUAGGAGUGAAAUCCUGUAAUCCUGGACGGACCGCCGAUGGCGAAAGCACCUCAAGACGACGGAUCCGACAGUGAGGGACGAAAGCUAGGGUCUCGAACCGGAUUAGAUACCCGGGUAGUCCUAGCCGUAAACGAUGUUCGCUAGAUGUGGCACAGGCUACGUGCCUGUGCUGUGUCGUAGGGAAGCCGAGAAGCGAACCGCCUGGGAAGUACGUCCGCAAGGAUGAAACUUAAAGGAAUUGGCGGGGGAGCACUACAACCGGAGGAGCCUGCGGUUUAAUUGGACCAA